RNAcentral lists this ribosomal RNA (305 nucleotides) under uncultured bacterium. Its description in RNAcentral is "partial 16S ribosomal RNA". It matches the Rfam family "Bacterial small subunit ribosomal RNA", at positions 337 to 644 of the family's 1533-position model. The record is from RNAcentral.
GCCUACGGGGGGCAGCAGUGGGGAAUAUUGCACAAUGGGGGAAACCCUGAUGCAGCGACGCCGCGUGGGUGAAGAAGUAUCUCGGUACGUAAAGCUCUAUCAGCAGGGAAGAAAAAAAGUCUUUGGCUUUGGACGGUACCUGACUAAGAAGCCCCGGCUAACUACGUGCCAGCAGCCGCGGUAAUACGUAGGGGGCAAGCGUUAUCCGGAUUUACUGGGUGUAAAGGGCGCGUAGGCGGGAUAGCAAGUCAGUCGUGAAAUGCCGAGGCUUAACCUCGGAGCUGCGAUUGAAACUGUUAUUCUUG